RNAcentral lists this ribosomal RNA (264 nucleotides) under uncultured archaeon. Its description in RNAcentral is "partial 16S ribosomal RNA". It matches the Rfam family "Archaeal small subunit ribosomal RNA", at positions 717 to 982 of the family's 1478-position model. The record is from RNAcentral.
AGACGUCUACAUUAGAUACCCGGGUAGUCCCAGCCGUAAACUAUGCGCGUUAGGUGUAUCGGUGACCACGAGUCACCGAGGUGCCGAAGGGAAACCGUGAAACGUGCCGCCUGGGAAGUACGGUCGCAAGGCUGAAACUUAAAGGAAUUGGCGGGGGAGCACAACAACGGGUGGAGCCUGCGGUUUAAUUGGACUCAACGCCGGACAACUCACCGGGACGACAGCAAUAUGUAGGCCAGGCUGAAGACCUUGCCUGAAUCGCUG